CCACUAGGACGAAUAAAAUAGCAACAAAGUUAGUGAAAUGUCAUUCACAGGUGAAGAAUGUCAAGUCUUCGGGUAUUUUGACAGCAUUGGCGAUUGGUUAGGUUAGGUUUUAACCUUUGGGCGUAUUUACAAUAGUACCAGCCCUUUAAAAUGACCAAUAGCGAAGGGGAAAAUGUCUGGAGUGUAUGUAGUAGUUGGAAUAUUUGUCCUGGAGUUGUAAAUAAUUGUUUAAUAAUUGAAAAAAUUAAUUGGGAAAAUCAGUGACGAAGUGGACAAAUAAGAGAAAUUGACUCAUCUUUGAGACAAGUUUUUGAACAAUAUCUCCGAAUUUAAGACAGCUGGUGGAAUUUUUGUUAUGGCAGUUUUUGUAGAUUGCAAUCCGCUCUACAAAAAAGGUUAUAAUACAAAUUUUGCGAUCUUAACCGGCUUUCGAGAUAUUUGUCAAAUACUGAUCAGUAGUCAAAAGUGGUUGAUUUUGUUGCACCAUUUCACUACUAAAUUCUAUGCAAAGAAAUAUUCCGUAGAAAUUACUGACCUCGAAUUCAAUUCGCGAUUCUUUCAAUGAGUAGGAAAACGCAAGUGACGAUGUCAUAAUUUUUCUCAGAAAAUUCAGUUAUUACUGGUGAAUUUUUUGAUGAUGAAAAAUUAAGACCGCGACCAACCAACCGAACGCCAACUGCUUUCCGCUGACAUUGCACGUUGGCUUUUGAGUGAGGCAUUAGCAUCGAAAAAUGAAUAAUAAAAAAAUACUAACGUUGACUGGAAGCUGCUGAGUAAGACGUUUAUCCUUCGUGGGUAUGUGGAGCCACGAAAAUUUCAAUGGUGAGAAAUUUCGGUGAGGGGGGCAUUUAAUAAAAAUAGAACUGAGUUUUGGUGGUUUGUUUGGGCCGUGGAAGUCAUUCUAUUCCCAGAAGUCAUUCCUCGGGUUUGUCAGCACUGAUUGCAAGGAAAUUUCCUUAACUACCAGAUCUAACAAUUAAUUGAUAAUAAAUUUGUGUAACGAAAUUACGAGGGAUACCUACAGCGUCAGACUUAUAAAACAGUCGGUUCGAUAAAAUGAAUUCUAAUAAUAAUUUUUACUAAUUUCUCUCUGGGAUGAUGGAAUUGAGAAAUUGAAUCUCUCCUUUCUAUCAUCCAGGCAGUCCCACAGUGUCUUCUGGACAAUCCAACGAAUGUUUGGGGAUUUGUCAGCAUCUCCACAACGCAAUUAUAACAAUUGUCUUAAAUAAUUGUACCGCUUGAUUGUCUGUCUUCUGUCAAAAAUCCUGAAAUGUUUUGUAUCCACUAAUAAAUCAGAUCAGUCGAUUGAAAUAAAAUUGA
This is a long non-coding RNA of Diachasmimorpha longicaudata, 1320 nucleotides long. RefSeq lists it as uncharacterized. The transcript has 2 exons. Lineage: Eukaryota; Metazoa; Arthropoda; Insecta; Hymenoptera; Braconidae. The record is from RefSeq and is a predicted model, not a curated record.